RNAcentral lists this ribosomal RNA (1344 nucleotides) under metagenome. Its description in RNAcentral is "bacterial LSU rRNA". It matches the Rfam family "Bacterial large subunit ribosomal RNA", at positions 1564 to 2925 of the family's 2925-position model. The record is from RNAcentral.
UGAGUACGAGACGCUGAGGCGUCGAAGUAGUGGAUGUCAUACUUCCAAGAAAAGCUUGCACUGUCAUAAAUGAAAAAUGCCUGUACCAUAACCGACACAGGUGGGUAAGUAGAGUAUACUAAGGGGCGCGAGAUAACUCUCUCUAAGGAACUCGGCAAAAUAACUCCGUAACUUCGGGAGAAGGAGCGCCUUAUUCUUAAGGUUGCAAUAACAAGAUCCAAGCAACUGUUUAUCAAAAACACAGGUCUCCGCUAAGUCGUAAGACGAUGUAUGGGGGCUGACGCCUGCCCAGUGCCAGAAGGUUAAAGAAGUCGGUUAGCAAUAGCAAAGCUGGUAACUGAAGCCCUGGUGAACGGCGGCCGUAACGAUAACGGUCCUAAGGUAGCGAAAUUCCUUGUCGGGUAAGUUCCGACCCGCACGAAAGGCGUAAUGAUUUGGAUGCCGUCUCGGAGAGGGGCUCGGUGAAAUAGACUUGUCUGUGAAGAUGCGGACUACCUGCACCAGGACAGAAAGACCCUAUGAAGCUUUACUGUAACUUGAAAUUGAAAUUGGACUUUAUUCGCGCAGUAUAGGUGGGAGGCGUUGAUUAUAAUCUUGUGGGAUUAUUGGAGCCAUCAGUGAGAUACCACUCUUGUAAUGUUAGAUUUCUAACUUUGAAUCAUUAUCUGGUCAAAGGACAGUUUCAGGCGGGCAGAUUGACUGGGGCGGUCGCCUCCUAAACGGUAACGGAGGCGUACAAAGGUUUCCUCUGAACGGUUAGAAAUCGUAUCUAGAGUGUAAAGGCAUAAGGAAGCUUGACUGUGAGACCUACAAGUCGAGCAGGGACGAAAGUCGGUCUUAGUGAUCUGACGGUACUGAGUGGAAAGGCCGUCACUCAACGGAUAAAAGUUACUCUAGGAUAACAGGCUGAUCUCCCCCAAGAGUUCACAUCGACGGGGAGGUUUGGCACCUCGAUGUCGGCUCAUCGCAUCCUGGGGCGGUAGUACGUCCCAAGGGUUGGGCUGUUCGCCCAUGAAAGCGGUACGCGAGCUGGGUUCAGAACGUCGUGAGACAGUUCGGUCCAUAUCCGGUGUAGGCGCUAGAAUAUUGAGAGGAGCCUUCUUUAGUACGAGAGGACCGAGAAGGACAUACCUCUGGUGUACCAGUUAUCGUGCCAACGGUAAACGCUGGGUAGCUAUGUAUGGAGUGGAUAACCGCUGAAAGCAUCUAAGUGGGAAGCCCACCUCAAGAUAAGUAUUCUCAUCACGUAAGUGAGUAAGGUCACGGUAAGACUAACCGUUUGAUAGGCAUUAAGUGUAAGUACAGUAAUGUAUGUGCUGAGAUGUCCUAAUAGACCGAGGACUU